This 388-nucleotide RNase P RNA is filed under the name 'Fragaria x ananassa' phyllody phytoplasma. Its description in RNAcentral is "RNase P RNA component class B". It matches the Rfam family "Bacterial RNase P class B". From Rfam's summary of the family: Ribonuclease P (RNase P) is a ubiquitous endoribonuclease, found in archaea, bacteria and eukarya as well as chloroplasts and mitochondria. Its best characterised activity is the generation of mature 5'-ends of tRNAs by cleaving the 5'-leader elements of precursor-tRNAs. Lineage: Bacteria; Bacillati; Mycoplasmatota; Mollicutes; Acholeplasmatales; Acholeplasmataceae. The record is from RNAcentral.
AAUAGAAGGUGAUCGAGAUUUAAAAAUAUUAUUAUUUUUAAAUUUAGGAAAGUCCAUGUUGGCACAUGCUGCGAUUGCAUGUAGUGUUUGUGUCUAAGGAAUUCAUAACUUAGAGUACUUUGAAAGCAAAGUAACGGCGUUUUUUAUUUCUAAGGAUUAAUUAUAAAUUAAUUUAUAAUUAUAUUUAUGAAAUAAAAGCUGAAAGUGUCACAGAGACGAGUUAAUUAGAAAUAAUUAGGUGAAACGUGAUAAACCCCUCAAGCUAACAACCCAAAAAAAUGGUAGGGGCAUGUAAAACGAUGAAAUGAAGUCAGUUUUACACUACUUUUAUAGUAGCAGAUAAAUGAUCACACUUGUUUUUUAACAAGACAAAACAUGGCUUAUGCAU